GGCCCCGUAGCUCAGUUGGAUAGAGCAAUUGACUUCUAAUCAAUAGGUCGCACGUUCGAAUCGUGCCGGGGUCACCA
This 77-nucleotide transfer RNA is filed under the name Sneathiella sp. RNAcentral describes it as "tRNA-Arg". It matches the Rfam family "tRNA". Rfam says of the family: Transfer RNA (tRNA) molecules are approximately 80 nucleotides in length. Their secondary structure includes four short double-helical elements and three loops (D, anti-codon, and T loops). Lineage: Bacteria; Pseudomonadati; Pseudomonadota; Alphaproteobacteria; Sneathiellales; Sneathiellaceae. The record is from RNAcentral. RNAcentral also lists the same sequence under 1 other name.